RNAcentral lists this ribosomal RNA (562 nucleotides) under uncultured Bacteroidota bacterium. RNAcentral's name for it is "bacterial SSU rRNA". It matches the Rfam family "Bacterial small subunit ribosomal RNA", at positions 226 to 785 of the family's 1533-position model. The record is from RNAcentral. Lineage: Bacteria; Pseudomonadati; Bacteroidota.
UGGGGAUGCGUCUGAUUAGCUCGUUGGCGGGGUAACGGCCCACCAAGGCAACGAUCAGUAGGGGUUCUGAGAGGAAGGUCCCCCACAUUGGAACUGAGACACGGUCCAAACUCCUACGGGAGGCAGCAGUGAGGAAUAUUGGUCAAUGGGCGAGAGCCUGAACCAGCCAAGUAGCGUGCAGGAUGACGGCCCUAUGGGUUGUAAACUGCUUUUAUAAGGGAAUAAAGUGAGUCUCGUGAGACUUUUUGCAUGUACCUUAUGAAUAAGGACCGGCUAAUUCCGUGCCAGCAGCCGCGGUAAUACGGAAGGUCCGGGCGUUAUCCGGAUUUAUUGGGUUUAAAGGGAGCGUAGGCCGGAGAUUAAGCGUGUUGUGAAAUGUAGACGCUCAACGUCUGCACUGCAGCGCGAACUGGUUUCCUUGAGUACGCACAAAGUGGGCGGAAUUCGUGGUGUAGCGGUGAAAUGCUUAGAUAUCACGAAGAACUCCGAUUGCGAAGGCAGCUCACUGGAGCGCAACUGACGCUGAAGCUCGAAAGUGCGGGUAUCGAACAGGAUUAGAUAC